UAUGGCAGCUGAAUUCUCUUUCAUGUAUGUCCAGUCCAGGUGAAGCCCAGCAUAAUGUACUAUAAUAUGUCUCUUCAGUUCUCUGAUACAGUGACCUGUGCAUCCUCUAAAUCCCCCACAGAAUGCACAGACACAAACUGAUUGAGGUGAGAAUGGACUUAAGUAUAUAUUGUUCUUUGUAGCUUUGAAGAACUGGUGCUUUUGCCAAAUGCAAGAUGAUGUGGAUUGUAAUCUAUUGAGAUACAAGUUCAGACUGGGUCCUCUUAUACAUUGUAAGAAUAACUAAAGAUUUGUCUGGAGUAAGGGAUUUUUUGUCUUUCUUCCUCAAAAAAAUAAAAAUAAAAUAAAACUUUCUCACUGUUUCUGACAUUUUGCAGUUCCUCUAGUGACAGCAAUCACGAAAGCACUGUAGUGAUAGGAGCCUCUUGCAGCAGCUGGAGCAGCUGGGAGCACGUGGCACCAGAAAUGCCAGUCAUUUGCUCAGGGGUGUUGUUGCAGCUAUGAAAAGAAAUUGAUACAUGCUACACAAAUGAGAACCUUGGAUUUUAACCUCCCUCCUGGAGAUCUGGAAGCCAUCAGGGGCUGGUGGUGCCCAGGACCUGUGUGGAACCACAUCCUACCCAGUGCUGAGGACAGUUGGUAGAGCUGGAAGUUUUCUCAUGUAAGUAAACACCAGCAGCCAGUCUCUUAAAAGACCUUUCAAAUAUGGCAAAGGAAAACUCUAAUUUUCAGUGUA
This 736-nucleotide long non-coding RNA is filed under the name Anas platyrhynchos platyrhynchos (common mallard). RNAcentral's name for it is "lncRNA (ENSAPLG00000028850.1)". The record is from RNAcentral. Lineage: Eukaryota; Metazoa; Chordata; Aves; Anseriformes; Anatidae.